AAUGAACGCUGGCGGUAGGCCUAACACAUGCAAGUCGAACGGCAGCACAGUAAGAGCUUGCUCUUACGGGUGGCGCGUGGCGGACUGGUUAGUAAUUCAUCGGAAUCUACUUUUUCGUGGGGUAUAACGUAGUGAAACUUACGCUAAUACCGCAUAUGACCUACGGGUGAAAGCAGGUGAUCUUCGCACCUUGCGCGAUUUAAUGACCCGAUGUCGGAUUAGCUAUUUGGCGGGUUAAAGGCCCACCAAGGCGACGAUCCGUAGCUGGUCUGAGAGGAUGAACAGCCACACUGGAACUGAGACACAGUACACACUCCUACGGGAGGCAGAAGUGGAGAAUAAUGGACAAUGGGAGAAAGCGUGAUCCAGCAAUACGGCGUGGGGGAAGAAGGCCUCAGGGUGGGAAAGUAAUGAUGUUGGGAAAGAAAAGAAGCAGGUUAAUAAGCCAAGGUUAUGACGGUACCGAAAGAAUAAGCACCGGCUAACUUCGUG
This 492-nucleotide ribosomal RNA is filed under the name uncultured bacterium. RNAcentral's name for it is "partial 16S ribosomal RNA". It matches the Rfam family "Bacterial small subunit ribosomal RNA", at positions 29 to 507 of the family's 1533-position model. The record is from RNAcentral.